CGAACGAUGAAACUUAGCAGACUUCUUCGGAAAGACACUAAGCGGAUUAGUGGCGAACGGGUGAGUAACGCGUGAGUAACCUGCCUUACACAAGGGGAUAGCCUUUGGAAACGAAGAAUAAUACCCUAUAAAACCAUAAAAGCACAUGCUAGAAUGGUCAAAGUGCUAGCGGUGUAAGAUGGACUUGCGUCUGAUUAGCUAGUUGGUGAGAUAAAAGCUCACCAAGGCAACGAUCAGUAGCCGGCUUGAGAGAGUGUACGGCCACAUUGGGACUGAGACACGGCCCAGACUCCUACGGGAGGCAGCAGUGGGGAAUUUUGCACAAUGGGGGAAACCCUGAUGCAGCGACGCCGCGUGAUUUAGAAGGCCUUCGGGUUGUAAAAAUCUUUUGUAUAGGAAGAAAAUGACAGUACUAUACGAAUAAGGUCCGGCUAAUUACGUGCCAGCAGCCGCGGUAAUACGUAAGGGCCGAGCGUUGUCCGGAAUCAUUGGGCGUAAAGGGUACGUAGGCGGCUAGAAAAGUUAGAAGUCAAAGGCUAUAGCUCGGCUAUAGUAAGCUUCUAAAACUAUUUAGCUUGAGAAAUGGAAGGGAAAGUGGAAUUCCUAGUGUAGCGGUGGAAUGCGCAGAUAUUAGGAAGAAUACCGGUGGCGAAGGCGACUUUCUGGCCAUUAUCUGACGCUGAGGUACGAAAGCGUGGGUA
This 701-nucleotide ribosomal RNA is filed under the name uncultured Eubacteriales bacterium. RNAcentral's name for it is "bacterial SSU rRNA". It matches the Rfam family "Bacterial small subunit ribosomal RNA", at positions 63 to 767 of the family's 1533-position model. Lineage: Bacteria; Bacillati; Bacillota; Clostridia; Eubacteriales. The record is from RNAcentral.